Molecule: ribosomal RNA, 406 nt
Filed under: uncultured bacterium
Lineage: Bacteria
Description: partial 16S ribosomal RNA
Rfam family: Bacterial small subunit ribosomal RNA
Source: RNAcentral
AUUGAACGCUGGCGGCAGGCCUAACACAUGCAAGUCGAACGAGUGGCGGACGGGUGAGUAAUGUCUGGGAAACUGCCCGAUGGAGGGGGAUAACUACUGGAAACGGUAGCUAAUACCGCAUACCAUCGGAUGUUCCCAGAUGGGAUUAGCUGGUAGGUGGGGUAACGGCUCACCAAGGCGACGCUCCCUAGCUGGUCUGAGAGGAUGACCAGCCACACUGGAACUGAGACACGGUCCAGACUCCUACGGUAGGCAGCAGUGGGGAAUAUUGCACAAUGGGCGCAAGCCUGAUGCAGCCAUGCCGCGUGUAGGAAGAAGGCCUUCGGGUUGUAAAGUACUUUCAGCGGGGAGGCGUUACCCGCAGAAGAAGCACCGGCUAACUCCGUGCCAGCCGCCGCGGUAAUUC